Molecule: transfer RNA, 89 nt
Filed under: Candidatus Jacksonbacteria bacterium
Lineage: Bacteria; Candidatus Jacksoniibacteriota
Description: tRNA-Leu
Rfam family: tRNA
About the family: Transfer RNA (tRNA) molecules are approximately 80 nucleotides in length. Their secondary structure includes four short double-helical elements and three loops (D, anti-codon, and T loops). Further hydrogen bonds mediate the characteristic L-shaped molecular structure. tRNAs have two regions of fundamental functional importance: the anti-codon, which is responsible for specific mRNA codon recognition, and the 3' end, to which the tRNAs corresponding amino acid is attached (by aminoacyl-tRNA synthetases). tRNAs cope with the degeneracy of the genetic code in two manners: having more than one tRNA (with a specific anti-codon) for a particular amino acid; and 'wobble' base-pairing, i.e. permitting non-standard base-pairing at the 3rd anti-codon position.
Source: RNAcentral
GCCGAGGUGGCGGAACUGGUAGACGCGCUAGGUUGAGGGCCUAGUCCUCUUUUUUGAGGGUGGAGGUUCAAGUCCUCUUCUCGGCACCA